CAAGUCGAACGGGAUCCAUCGGGCUUUGCUUGGUGGUGAGAGUGGCGAACGGGUGAGUAAUGCGUGACCGACCUGCCCCAUGCUCCGGAAUAGCUCCUGGAAACGGGUGGUAAUGCCGGAUGUCCACAUGAUCGCAUGUGAUUGUGGGAAAGAUUCUAUCGGCGUGGGAUGGGGUCGCGACCUAUCAGCUUGUUGGUGAGGUAACGGCUCACCAAGGCUUCGACGGGUAGCCGGCCUGAGAGGGCGACCGGCCACAUUGGGACUGAGAUACGGCCCAGACUCCUACGGGAGGCAGCAGUGGGGAAUAUUGCACAAUGGGCGCAAGCCUGAUGCAGCGACGCCGCGUGAGGGAUGGAGGCCUUCGGGUUGUGAACCUCUUUUGUUUGGGAGCAAGCCUUCGGGUGAGUGUACCUUUCGAAUAAGCGCCGGCUAACUACGUGCCAGCAGCCGCGGUAAUACGUAGGGCGCAAGCGUUAUCCGGAUUUAUUGGGCGUAAAGGGCUCGUAGGCGGCUCGUCGCGUCCGGUGUGAAAGUCCAUCGCUUAACGGUGGAUCUGCGCCGGGUACGGGCGGGCUGGAGUGCGGUAGGGGAGACUGGAAUUCCCGGUGUAACGGUGGAAUGUGUAGAUAUCGGGAAGAACACCGAUGGCGAAGGCAGGUCUCUGGGCCGUCACCGACGCUGAGGAGCGAAAGCGUGGGGAGCGAACAGG
This 709-nucleotide ribosomal RNA is filed under the name uncultured Actinomycetes bacterium. RNAcentral's name for it is "bacterial SSU rRNA". It matches the Rfam family "Bacterial small subunit ribosomal RNA", at positions 58 to 776 of the family's 1533-position model. Lineage: Bacteria; Bacillati; Actinomycetota; Actinomycetes. The record is from RNAcentral.